GUAGGUGGCAAGCGUUGUCCGGAAUUAUUGGGCGUAAAGCGCGCGCAGGCGGUCCUUUAAGUCUGAUGUGAAAGCCCACGGCUCAACCGUGGAGGGUCAUUGGAAACUGGGGGACUUGAGUACAGAAGAGGAAAGCGGAAUUCCAAGUGUAGCGGUGAAAUGCGUAGAGAUUUGGAGGAACACCAGUGGCGAAGGCGGCUUUCUGGUCUGUAACUGACGCUGAGGCGCGAAAGCGUGGGGAGCAAACAGGGAUUAGAUACCCUGGUAGUCCACGCCGUAAACGAUGAGUGCUAAGUGUUAGGGGGUUUCCCGCCCCUUAGUGCUGCAGCUAACGCAUUAAGCACUCCGCCUGGGGAGUACGCCGCAAGGCUA
Molecule: ribosomal RNA, 372 nt
Filed under: uncultured organism
Description: partial 16S ribosomal RNA
Rfam family: Bacterial small subunit ribosomal RNA
Source: RNAcentral